GGAUGUGAGGGCAUUCUGGCUGUGACCUCUUUUGUCACCCCACUGAUUGCCAGGGUUAAGUCAGCUAAUAUGACUGGCUAGGUGAGUGUCCCCUUUCCUCCCUCACCAGUCCAGUGAAUCCCUCCUGAAUCUGCCCAUUCGGUCAAAGAAGAUGACCUUCCCUGAGUAGAGGAGGACUGGUCUUCCAUCAAGGAUAUACAAGUAGCUGCACUCCUAUGAUAGAACCCCCAAACAAGUUCUCAAGAAAAGUGUUUGGAAAGAGAAAGUGAAGUCCAUGCAGAUAUGCAAACUAGUAAGAUUUCAUUUAUAAUAUUGAUGC
This 319-nucleotide small nuclear RNA is filed under the name Jaculus jaculus (lesser Egyptian jerboa). RNAcentral's name for it is "7SK RNA (ENSJJAG00000005510.1)". It matches the Rfam family "7SK RNA". From Rfam's summary of the family: 7SK was discovered as an abundant small nuclear RNA in the mid-70s but a possible function has only recently been suggested. Two independent studies have found that 7SK RNA binds the CDK9/cyclin T complex (known as elongation factor P-TEFb). P-TEFb activates transcription by phosphorylating the C-terminal domain of RNA polymerase II. Lineage: Eukaryota; Metazoa; Chordata; Mammalia; Rodentia; Dipodidae. The record is from Rfam by way of RNAcentral.